UACGUAGGGUGCAAGCGUUAAUCGGAAUUACUGGGCGUAAAGCGUGCGCAGGCGGUUAUGUAAGACAGUUUGUGAAAUCCCCGGGCUCAACCUGGGAACUGCAUCUGUGACUGCAUAGCUAGAGUACGGUAGAGGGGGAUGGAAUUCCGCGUGUAGCAGUGAAAUGCGUAGAUAUGCGGGAGGAACACCGAUGGCGAAGGCAAUCCCCUGGACCUGUACUGACGGCUCAUGCAC
RNAcentral lists this ribosomal RNA (234 nucleotides) under uncultured bacterium. RNAcentral's name for it is "partial 16S ribosomal RNA". It matches the Rfam family "Bacterial small subunit ribosomal RNA", at positions 524 to 754 of the family's 1533-position model. The record is from RNAcentral.